This 482-nucleotide ribosomal RNA is filed under the name uncultured bacterium. Its description in RNAcentral is "partial 16S ribosomal RNA". It matches the Rfam family "Bacterial small subunit ribosomal RNA", at positions 30 to 507 of the family's 1533-position model. The record is from RNAcentral.
AUUGAACGCUGGCGGCAUGCUUUACACAUGCAAGUCGAACGGUAACAGCACUUCGGUGGCUGACGAGUGGCGAACGGGUGAGUAAUACAUCGGAACGUGCCUAGUAGUGGGGGAUAACUACUCGAAAGAGUAGCUAAUACCGCAUGAGAUCUAAGGAUGAAAGCAGGGGACCUUCGGGCCUUGCGCUACUAGAGCGGCUGAUGGCAGAUUAGGUAGUUGGUGGGAUAAAAGCUUACCAAGCCGACGAUCUGUAGCUGGUCUGAGAGGACGACCAGCCACACUGGGACUGAGACACGGCCCAGACUCCUACGGGAGGCAGCAGUGUGGAAUGUUGGACAAUGGGCGCAAGCCUGAUCCAGCAAUGCCGCGUGCAGGAUGAAGGCCUUCGGGUUGUAAACUGCUUUUGUACGGAACGAAAAGCCCUCUUCUAAUACAGGAGGGUCAUGACGGUACCGUAAGAAUAAGCACCGGCUAACUACGUG